This 492-nucleotide ribosomal RNA is filed under the name uncultured bacterium. RNAcentral's name for it is "partial 16S ribosomal RNA". It matches the Rfam family "Bacterial small subunit ribosomal RNA", at positions 29 to 507 of the family's 1533-position model. The record is from RNAcentral.
AGUGAACGCUGGCGGUAGGCCUAACACAUGCAAGUCGAACGGCAGCACAGUAAGAGCUUGCUCUUACGGGUGGCGAGUGGCGGACGGGUGAGGAAUACAUCGCAAUCUACUUUUUCGUGGAGGAUAACGUAGGGAAACUUACGCUAAUACCGCAUACGACCUACGGGUGAAAGCAGGGGAUCUUCGGACCUUGCGCGAUUGAAUGAGCCGAUGUCGGAUUAGCUAGUUGGCGGGGUAAAGGCCCACCAAGGCGACGAUCCGUAGCUGGUCUGAGAGGAUGAUCAGCCACACUGGAACUGAGACACGGUCCAGACUCCUACGGGAGGCAGCAGUGGGGAAUAUUGGACAAUGGGCGCAAGCCUGAUCCAGCCAUACCGCGUGGGUGAAGAAGGCCUUCGGGUUGUAAAGCCCUUUUGUUGGGAAAGAAAAGCAGCAGGUUAAUACCCCGCUGUUCUGACGGUACCCAAAGAAUAAGCACCGGCUAACUUCGUG